CUUUUUGCCAUUUCUUGGGCCGCUCCCGCAGCAUAUAGAGGUUCCCAGGCUAGGGGUCCAAUCGGAGCUGUAGCCACCGGCCUACGCCAGAGCCACAGCAACGCAGGAUCCUCAGGAUCCGAGCCGCGUCUGCGACCUACACCACAGCUCACAGCAACGCCGGAUCGUUAACCCACUGAGCAAGGGCAGGGAUCGAACCCGCAACCUCAUGGUUCCUAGUCGGAUUCGUUAACCACUGCACCACGAUGGGAACUCCAAUGUUAGUCUUAUUUAACAUAUUAUUUAAUCCUCAUAUCUCUAAGACUGAGUUACCACAACUGUUUCCUUUUUACAAAUGCAGGAAUUGAGUCUUAGAGAGGGCAAUAUGUCCCUUAAAAGAUACACAGUAAGUGAUGACAGUAGCUUUCACUUAAGAAGUCUCAAAUCAAAAUGUUGGAACUUGACUGAGAAGAUAAAAAAAACUGAAGGAGCUAAAAUUUCAAGCAAUUUUAGUCUUUAGUAUAGGAUUAUUUAAAAAUUUUUAGGCCAACCCAUGAAAAAAUAGAGAGGCAGGACAGAUUUCAGGAAAUCUACAGUAAUGAUUAAGAAAUCUGAUACACCAGGUAAAAUUCCACUAAGUCAGUACUGCCUCCUUUCUGUCCCUGAUUCAUAAAGUGGGGAAAAACUCUCAGCAUAAAGGUUGGUAAUAAGGUUCCCAUGUAAAAAGGUUAAAUGUAAAGUAGAGAUGGAAGCUAUUUGAGUCAUGGUGCAAUUCAAAUGCAAAGGGUUCUUCUCGAAGGUUUUUAAGAGGUUCAUCUUCCUGGAUAGAUGCCGAAUAAGAGACUCCUGAGGGUUUCAGAUUUCUGAGGUCAGGGCUGUUUUAAAAUUGAUACAUGCAAUAGCCAAGACACGGAAUAAACCCAAAUGUCCAUCGACAGAUGACUGGAUUAGGGAGAUGUGGUAUAUAUACACAAUGGAAUACUACUUAGCCAUAAAAAAGAACAAAAUAAUGCCAUUUGCGUCAACAAGGAUGGAACUAGAGACUCUCAUGCUAAGUGAAGUAAGUCAGAAAGAAAAAGACAAAUACUAUAUGAUAUCACUUAUAUCUGGAGUGUAAUAUAUGGCACAAAUGAACCUUUCCACAGAAAAGAAACUCAUGGACUUGAAGAAUAGACUUGUGUUUGCCAAGGGGCAGGGGGAGGGAGUGGGAUGUAUGGGGUGCUUGGGGUCAAUAGAUGUAAACUAUUGCCUUUGGAAUGGAUUAGCAAUGAGAUCCUGCUGUGUAGCACUGGGAGCUAUGCCUAGUCACUUAUGAUGGUACAUGAUAGAGUGAGAAAAAAUAAUAUAUACAUGUAUGUAUAACUGGGUCACCAUGUUGUACAGUAGGAAAAAAAUGUAUUGGGGAAGUAACAAUGGAUUACAAUUAAAAAGAAAGGAAGAAAGAAAGGAAAAAAAGAAAGAAAGACAAAAACAAAACAAAGAGAAAAUACACAUAGUAAUAACUGCAUUAAAAAAAUAAAAAUGAAAUAUAAAUGCAUUUCCUUAACAAAUGGCUUUAUGAAAUGAACCAGGCUUUAGUUAACUUUCUCAGGAGAUUCAGAUUUGCAUGGUCCCUGACCCUAGAUCUGCAUUUACUACUCACGGGGCUCCAGCAAAUCACUGAGCUUCUCCAGGCUCAGGGGAGAAGCUUGUAUUUACCCAGUUUAGAGCUGGGAGUCUCCCAGCCCACAGAGUUUCUGCUUGAACCUCUGAAACUUAACUUCAGGAUACCCAGAAAACUCUGGUACUUUAAUUCACAUUGCCACUUUUUGAUUAGCAUAUCCAGCUGGUCAUAAAAAACUAAGGCAAUUUUUGUGUUUUCUUUGUAUUUUAUACCAACUUUUGAAACAUGGGAUUUAUCCCCAAAUUCUAGCAUUUGGUGAUAUAAUGGAGUUUCAAAUACUAUCUUAAAUCAUUUAUUAAAUAGUGAAAAGAUAAUUUACAUACUAUUCAUAUUUUCAAAGGGUUUCAUAAACUCAUGUAAAAUGCCCUAUCAAAAAUCUUAUUUUUAUAUUUUGAACUGGGACAGGUUCCAACAUCUGUUAAAAGACAACUGACAAAAAGAUAAAAAUUGUGUGUCGAGUUGGUAGCGGGGAGCCAACGGUUAUUUCCCUGCUGCUGAUUUUUGUUUUGUUUUGUUUCUUUAAUUGCAAUAUAGAUCAUUUACAGUGUCCCAUUAGUUUCAGGUGUACAGUAAAGUGACGCAUUUAUAUAUAUGUGUGUCUUCUUUUUCAGAUUUUUCUUACUAUAGCUUAUUAGGUCAUUGUAAGAUACUGAGUGUUACACAGUAGGUCCUCGUUGUCUACCUAUUUUAUGUAUAGUAGUGUGUAUAUGUUAAUCCCAGACUUCUAAUUUAUCCCUGGCCCCCUUUACUCUGUUAACCAUAAGUUUGUUUUCUAUGUCUGUGAGUCUAUCUCUGGAAGUAAGCUCAUUUGUAUCAUAUUUUUAGAUUCCAUAUACAACUGAUAUUACAUCUUUGACUUAUUUCACUUAGUAUGAUAAGCUCUAUUAUGAACUAAUAUGAUGAACUAAUAUGAUAGAUUCAUCCAUGUUGCUACAAAUGGCAUUAUUUCAUUUCUUUCUAUGGCUGAGUAAUAUUCCAUUUUAUAUAUAUAUACCAUUCUUCUUUAUCCAUUUAUCUGUGGAUGGACAUUUAGGUUGCUUCCAUGUCUUAGCUACUGUAAAUAGUGCUGCUAUAAACAUUGAAGUGCAUGUAUCUUUUUGAAAUAGGGUUUUCUCUGGAUAUAGCUCAAAAAUGGAAUUGCUGGAUCACAUGGUAACUCUAUUCUUAGUUUUUUUUUAAUGUUCUCCAUAAUGACUGAACAAGCUUACAUUUCCAGCAACAGGAAAGGAGGGUUCUCUUUUCUCCUCAUGCUCUUCUAGCAUUUUUUAUUUGUAGACUUUUUGAUGAUGGCCAUUCUGACUGGUGUGAGGUGACAGCUCAUUGUAGUUUUGAUGUGCAUUUCUCUAAUAAUUAGCAAUGUUGAGCAUCUUCUCAUAUGUUCUUUGGAGAAUGUCUUUUUAGGUCCUCUGCCCAUUGUUGAUGGGUUGCUUGGUUUGAUUUUUUUUUUAAAUAUAUUAAGCCGUAUGAGCCAUUUGCACAUUUUAGAAAUGAAUCUCUUGACAGUUUCAUCAUUUGCAAAUAUUUUCUCCCAUUCCAUAUAUUGUCUUUUCAUUCUGCUUAUGGUUUCCUUCGCUGUGCAAAAGCUUUUAAGCUUAAUUAGGUCCCAUUUGUAUAUUUUUGUUUUUAUUUCCAUUACUCUAGGAGAUGGAUCCAAAAAUAAUAUUGCUGCAAUUUAUGUCAAAGAGUGUUUUGCCUAUGUUUCCUCUAGGAAUUUUGGAGUAUCCAGUCUUACAUUUAGAACUUUAAUCCAUUUUGAAUCUAUUUCUUUACAUGGCGUUAGAGAAUGUUCUAUUUUAAUUCUUUUCAUAGAGUGGUCCAUUUUUCCUCACACCACUUAUUGAAGAGACUGUAUUUUCUCCAUUGUAUAUCCUUGCCUCCUUUGUCAUAGAGUAACUGACCAUAGGUAUAUGAGUUUAUUUCUAGACUUUCUAUCCUAUUCUAUUGAUCUAUGUAUCUGUUUUGUGUCAGUACCACACUGUUUUGAUGACUGUAGCUUUGUAGCAAGUCUGAGGUCAGGAAGUGUAAUUCCUCCAGCUCCAUUCUUCUUUCUCAAGAUUCCUUUGGCUAUUCAGGAUCUUUGGUGUUUCCAUACAAAUUUAAAAAAAAUAAUUGUUCUAGUUCUGUGAAAAAUGCUAUUGGUAAUUUGAUAGGGAUUACAUUGAAUCUGUAGAUUGCCUGAGGCAGUAUGGCCAUUUUCAUGAUAUUGAUUCUUUCAACCCAAGAACAUGGCGUAUCUUUCCAUCUCUUUGUGUUGUCUUCAGUGUAUUUCAUUACAGUUUUUGGUGUACAGGUCUUUUACCUCCUUAGGUAGGUUUAUUCCUAGGUAUUUUAUUCUUUUUAACAUGAUGGUAGGAGGGAUUGUUUCCUUAAUUUAUUUCUCCGAUAGUUUGUUUUGAGUAUUUAGAAAUGCAGCAGAUUUCUGUUUAUCAAUUUGGUGUUCUACAACAUUAUCAAAUUCAUGGAUGACUUCUAGUAGUUUUCUGGGAGCAUCUUAAAGAUUUCUAUGAGGCAGCUGGUCCCAGGGUAGGGGCUGGCUUCUGUUUGCAAACUAAAUGUUCUGCAGGAUAAGAGAUUGUAAUCCUCAUGCUUCCGGUUUCUGACCCCUAGUGGGUGAGGCUAGUCUAGAGGCUUGUGCAGGAUUCCAGUAGCUGACCACUGGUGAAUGGAACUGGGCCUUGGCCCUCUGGUGGGAAGUGCUGUGUCUAGAGGGCAGGUCUAGAGGUAGCCGUUGGUA
This 4376-nucleotide long non-coding RNA is filed under the name Sus scrofa (pig). RNAcentral's name for it is "lncRNA (ENSSSCG00000057547.1)". The record is from RNAcentral. Lineage: Eukaryota; Metazoa; Chordata; Mammalia; Artiodactyla; Suidae.